AGCGAACGUUUGCGGCGGGCCUAACACAUGCAAGUCGAACGGGCUAGCAAUAGUCAGUGGCGCACGGGUGCGUAACACGUGGGUAAUCAACCCUUCAGCUCGGGAUAACGCCUUGAAAGGGGCGCUAAUACCGGAUACGACGCGAGGAGCUUCGGCUGCUUGCGGGAAAGAUUCGCAAGGAUCUCUGAAGGACGAGCCUGCGGCCCAUCAGCUAGUUGGUGAGGUAAGAGCUCACCAAGGCGAAGACGGGUAGCUGGUCUGAGAGGAUGAUCAGCCACACUGGAACUGAGACACGGUCCGGACUCCUACGGGAGGCAGCAGUGGGGAAUAUUGCGCAAUGGGCGAAAGCCUGACGCAGCCACGCCGCGUGAGCGAUGAAGGCCUCGGUCGUAAG
This 394-nucleotide ribosomal RNA is filed under the name uncultured bacterium. RNAcentral describes it as "bacterial SSU rRNA". It matches the Rfam family "Bacterial small subunit ribosomal RNA", at positions 29 to 429 of the family's 1533-position model. The record is from RNAcentral.